RNAcentral lists this ribosomal RNA (468 nucleotides) under uncultured bacterium. RNAcentral's name for it is "partial 16S ribosomal RNA". It matches the Rfam family "Bacterial small subunit ribosomal RNA", at positions 28 to 507 of the family's 1533-position model. The record is from RNAcentral.
GACGAACGCUGGCGGCGUGCUUAACACAUGCAAGUCGAACGGAAAGGCCCUGCUUUUGUGGGUUGCUCGAGUGGCGAACGGGUGAGUAACACGUGAGUAACCUGCCCUUGACUUUGGGAUAACUUCAGGAAACUGGGGCUAAUACCGGAUAUGAGCUCCUGCUGCAUGGUGGGGGUUGGAAAGUUUCGGCGGUUGGGGAUGGACUCGCGGCUUAUCAGCUUGUUGGUGGGGUAGUGGCUUACCAAGGCUUUGACGGGUAGCCGGCCUGAGAGGGUGACCGGCCACAUUGGGACUGAGAUACGGCCCAGACUCCUACGGGAGGCAGCAGUGGGGAAUAUUGCACAAUGGGCGGAAGCCUGAUGCAGCAACGCCGCGUGCGGGAUGACGGCCUUCGGGUUGUAAACCGCUUUCGCCUGUGACGAAGCGUGAGUGACGGUAAUGGGUAAAGAAGCACCGGCUAACUACGUG